This is a long non-coding RNA of Ictalurus punctatus (channel catfish), 1353 nucleotides long. NCBI's taxonomy places the organism in Eukaryota, Metazoa, Chordata, Actinopteri, Siluriformes, Ictaluridae. The record is from Ensembl.
CCGGGAUUGAAGAGCUUGCUGUGAUGUGUACAAGCCUCUUCUGUUGUUGUUGAAAUUAGGAGACUUAGCAGGUGUGAAUUCACAGUAACACCUUUUGUGAGUACAACUCUCGGAAGGGACAGUCAGAAUCUACCUCAUGAGAAUCUCAUCACUGCAGAACCAGGGGAGAAUGAGAUCAUCUAUCCCGAUGCAAGCAUACGCUCAGACGCCACCUGUUGGACUUCAACUGCACGCUCCACAACAGACUUCCUGUAACAGGGUGCCUAGCCCUACAGCGCAGGGGCUAUUAUUAUAUUACGCACAACAAAGUGUGUCAAAUCAACAAAACAAUCAUCAAAGUAAUCAACAGUCUCAUGUGUUAUGGAACGGCCAGUCUUCCUCCCAGCCUGUUUCAAGUUCAUGUAAUUUGCAGUCGAGACCUAGGCCUCAAACGUGGUUUACCGACUCGCAGAAUGGGUUGCUUCUCAGAAGUUCAACUUGUGUGGGAAGUUCUUUACCAAAUGGACAGGUUGCACCAUUGCCAGCUGCUCAGCAUGGACCCUCCACUCAAAACCUCAGCCAUCAUCCCCAGACCUUGAAUAGACAUACUGUUCCUCAGCAGAACUAUAAUAUGCCACACUUGCACAACGUCAGUAAUACAAAUGUUCCUUGGUUCCCUUCGAAUUAUAGCAAUCCAAGUUCUGCAACUGAACAGAAUAAGCUGACGCAUCAGUCAGUUCUACCUCAGUACCAGUCUCUGAAUGAACAUCAUAACAGAAUGCAGAUUGCGCAUCAACCUGCAGCUCAGCCGCAACAAACAGAUCGGUCUGCUCAGAUUCUGCACAAUCAGGCACAGCAGAAAAUUCACAAUAAUCAAGCUCAGAUAACAGGAGGAAAAGGAAAUGGUGCUUUAUAUAACUCUGUUAACCACUUCCCUGCUACUUCACAAAGACUCAUCACUCCAUCCCAGCCUUCAAACUACAGUCAGCAGACUGGUCAGAGCCACGCAAGCUAUAACGGGAAUCACGCUCAGCAUUCAUCACAAAUCCAGCAUCAGCCUUCGCCAUACAGAACAGAGACCAAUUCUUCCGGUUACGGUCAUUUAAAACACAGCGAGAACAAGCAUCAAAAUUUACAGUCACACCCAUCCCCACCAUACCCAGAGCAGAGGAGAAAGCAGAGGAAAAAUCAAAGUUCAGCAUUAAGGUUACCCCAGGACAAUUUCCAGGACCAGACUUCACUCCAACAAUGCAACACUACACUAGAUUCUGGCCAUCAAAGCCAGACAUGCCAUCCUACUGUGUCUGCCAUUCAAGGCAACACAUGGCCACAAGAAUCAAAUGAUGCAAGCGCUGGACUCCCUAGGUCCUCACA